UACGUAGGGUGCAAGCGUUGUCCGGAAUUAUUGGGCGUAAAGAGCUCGUAGGCGGUUUGUUGCGUCGGCUGUGAAAUCCCGAGGCUCAACCUCGGGUCUGCAGUCGAUACGAGCAAACUAGAGUGUUGCAGGGGAGACUGGAAUUCCUGGUGUAGCGGUGAAAUGCGCAGAUAUCAGGAGGAACGCCGGUGGCGAAGGCGGGUCUCUGGGGCAACAACUGACGCUGGAGGAGCGAAAGCGUGGGGAGCGAACAGG
Molecule: ribosomal RNA, 255 nt
Filed under: uncultured bacterium
Lineage: Bacteria
Description: partial 16S ribosomal RNA
Rfam family: Bacterial small subunit ribosomal RNA
Source: RNAcentral